UAAUACGUAGGGGGCGAGCGUUGUCCGGAAUGACUGGGCGUAAAGGGCGCGUAGACGGCUGUCUAAGUCUGGAGUGAAAGUCCUGUUUUCAAGGUGGGAAUUGCUUUGGAGACUGGAUGGCUUGAGUGCGGAAGAGGUAAGUGGAAUUCCCAGUGUAGCGGUGAAAUGCGUAGAGAUUGGGAGGAACACCAGUGGCGAAGGCGACUUACUGGGCCGUAACUGACGUUGAAGCGCGAAAGCGUGGGGAGCGAACAGG
This 256-nucleotide ribosomal RNA is filed under the name uncultured bacterium. RNAcentral describes it as "partial 16S ribosomal RNA". It matches the Rfam family "Bacterial small subunit ribosomal RNA", at positions 521 to 776 of the family's 1533-position model. The record is from RNAcentral.